AUUAGAAGUAAAAUUUACAAUUAGUUUCGACCUAAUAUUUGAUAUACAUUAUCCUAAUU
RNAcentral lists this transfer RNA (59 nucleotides) under Aenictopecheidae sp. PJ-2015. RNAcentral's name for it is "tRNA-Arg". Lineage: Eukaryota; Metazoa; Arthropoda; Insecta; Hemiptera; Aenictopecheidae. The record is from RNAcentral.